RNAcentral lists this ribosomal RNA (429 nucleotides) under Actinomycetes bacterium. RNAcentral's name for it is "Actinobacteria bacterium partial 16S ribosomal RNA". It matches the Rfam family "Bacterial small subunit ribosomal RNA", at positions 355 to 776 of the family's 1533-position model. Lineage: Bacteria; Bacillati; Actinomycetota; Actinomycetes. The record is from RNAcentral.
UAGGGAAUCUUCCGCAAUGGGCGAAAGCUUGACGGAGCAACGCCGCGUGAGUGAUGAAGGUCUUCGGAUCGUAAAACUCUGUUAUUAGGGAAGAACAAAUGUGUAAGUAACUAUGCACGUCUUGACGGUACCUAAUCAGAAAGCCACGGCUAACUACGUGCCAGCAGCCGCGGUAAUACGUAGGUGGCAAGCGUUAUCCGGGAUUAUUGGGCGUAAAGCGCGCGUAGGCGGUUUUUUAAGUCUGAUGUGAAAAACCACGGUUCAAACGGGGAGGGUCAUUGGAAACUGGAAAACUUGAGUGCAGAAGAGGAAAGGGGAAUUCAAUGUGUAGCAGUGAAAUGCGCAGAGAUAUGGAGGAGCACCAGUGGCGAAGGCGACUUUCUGGUCUGUAACUGACGCUGAUGUGCGAAAGCGUGGGGAUCAAACAGG